This is a long non-coding RNA of Hylaeus anthracinus, 9767 nucleotides long. RefSeq lists it as uncharacterized. The transcript is spliced from 2 exons. The record is from RefSeq and is a predicted model, not a curated record. NCBI's taxonomy places the organism in Eukaryota, Metazoa, Arthropoda, Insecta, Hymenoptera, Colletidae.
AUUGUGUAGCAGACUGCCAUUCGAAUGUGUGUUUUAUAACAGUGUCUUAUUAUAUAGCGUAGAUUAGGCACUCGUUCAUCCCUUCUCCUUUAUUUCUUCACUUUCAAGCGUGACUGAAGUUGGAACGAGAUCAUUUGGCUGCUCAAUGGGAUUAGAGAUGGGCAAUAUUUUACAUUAAUUUUCGUUUAUAAUUCAAAUUGUUUAAAAAGCUAUUUUUAUCUAGCUAAGAAUUAGAUUGUCCCCCAUUUGAAGACCUUAGUAUUUAGUUACAGUGUAUGAAUAUGUUAGAGAUUAAGUUUCAAUCACUUGUUAGCUGCAACUAGUCUUUAUUUAAAUUAAAAAAAAAAACACUUUGCGUUGCCUUGAGCAGCCAGUCGAUUCUCUUCCAGCGAUAACAAAUGUUCCCAUGGUGUUCGUUGCAUCGGUCUGACGGCAAGGUUCACUUAACAUCACUUUUCUCCCAAAUUCCCAUCAACUCUGCAGAUUAGGCGAAGAUAUCGAGACUACAGCAGAAGAUCGAGAUAGUCGUGGCUCCCUAUAUUUAGCAAGACUACUCAUUCGUCGACGAAAUCACAGAUUCUUUUUUAUAUGAAACAAUUACACGUAAAGACUUACGAACAUGUAAUUUAGAAUUGCACUGAGAACUGUUUCGGGACUAUGUGUUUAUUUUGUCGAAAAUAAUCAGCAUCCUUAGGAGGAAAUUUUUGUUAAUAUAUUUUUUAAGAAACAGAGGAGUUUUACACAUUAAAUUUAGUUCACUUAUUUUUCUUUGUAUCUCAUGAGAAUUGUUCACUUCAGUUUUGGUUAUUUGAGAAUCAUCAAGCCAAAGAAUCGCACCGUUAUUAUUAAUUUUCGCAUAUGUAAACCUUCCCUUUGUUGGAAAAUACUUUCGAUAAACAGCACUCAUAAAGCCAGACCAGUCACGUUCAUAAAUUACAUUUUCGUGAGCCUCGUGGAUGAUUCGAUCAUCGACUCGGUAGUCUUGCUAACCGGGAGCGAUCAGAAGCGUUCGAAAGAGCGAAGUUCAGGCGAAGUCGAGGGUUCGCGGCGAUAGGGCGAACUAUUGUAUAGUCUUUGGUCGAGAGAAUCCCCCAUCGAGGAAUAGAUCGCUUGCAAGAGACGCGAAUUAUUUUUUUUCCGAGCGAUUCGUUGUCGUUUACGCUGGCGCAUUCGAAAGAGGCGUCGUAUCGGAAAUCGAGGAAGCUCGUCGAGAGAUUUCCAAUUAAAAUUAAUUGCCCUUCCCGUGGGCAUCCGGAAGUUUCAUCGACGAUCGUGCGUCAUACGCAGGUCGACGAAAAACGCGAUUCCCAAUUGGACCGCCGAUUAUCGGAAUCCGAUCAAUCCAAGCGUGUUGUGUAAACGGAAAUAACACGUGGGCUGCGGAGAAUUUCGAAGGGAUCUCAAUCAGCUUGAUCGCUAGGGAUUAUGAAAACUGGCCGGGUGGUAUGGGUCAGUCGAUGGAGAACGAUUCCACUCCGAUUUUCUUCAAACAAUUUCACCUGCUAUUUGUUUAGACUAGAUGGAAAGAAGUUCGUAUUUCUUCUGUCGUAGAAUCAAAGUGAAACCUCCUAUUCAUAAUGAACUACUUUGGUUAUAUUUUGUAGCCCUCGCUAUUAUUAUUGCAAGCAUUUUUAUUUCAAUUAUCAAUACCUAAAGCACGGUAAAGAACGUUUUUACAUAAAAGAAACAAUGAGGCAAACUCCAACCAGAGGAGUCUUGAAUAAUAAGAGUUGUUGGGUUAAUAUUUGAUCGAAUAUUUGAGCGAAUACGAAAUUUUAGAAAUAUAUGGGACAUCACCGACUCGACGAGCUUGUUGAUCGAUUUCCAAUCACGUGGAUCGUUGUUCGAACGCAAAGUUUGAAGGUGAUUGAAAGUAGACGCGGCGAAGGUACCAGCCGCGGACAGAAAUGCGCGAAAGUGCACAGACGCUCGAGAAAUGAGCAGAAGGAAUCAAGCGCGGACAGUCGAGGAGACACGAAGGCUGGAAACAGCAACAGUUGCGUCCAACGAUUAGCACAAACACUGAUAAUAUAGUCUGUGGAACUAACAUAGCAGGCCUGGUUACUAUUACUAAAUUCAAUUUAAAAAUUGCUAAGUUUGACACUCUUGCUUCUAACGUUAUCAGUGCUAUUAAAAAAUACGUUUUUGUGUAUUGAAACAGUAGAGAAUAACUGAAGAGGACUAAACGAGUCGUGUACAGAUCGAGAAGCCAACCGAAGGCACAUGUGCCACGAGUUAUGCGUAAACGAACGUUCGCCAAGGUUCGAGCACAUGUGUCCUCAACUGUUUUGACUCAUUAGUCUGUAUUUGACUAACGAUUAUCGAUAUAAUUAUUCUUGAACAUAUCCUCUCGUAUAAACUCAGUAUAAUCUCUGUUUCAAUCAUGUAGCAAUACGUGGCUUCCAUAUAUUAUUACUUUUCCAAUUUGUUAUUUAAUUAAGCAAAAGUAUGAUGAGUCAUAAAAGCCCCCAAAUGUAUAUACCUAAUAUUUUCUUUGCGUUGAAUCUCUCCCCUCAAUAAGAAUAAUAUUAUUUAAUUAAAAGAACUCUAUAUUUGUUCCAUAACGCACUAUAUAUCCGUGUGAUCGAUCCUCUUGGACAAAGAUUUUCAUUUUAAAACAAGGUUUAGCGAUCCAAGGGGACUUUUACGGAAUAAUCAAUCGACGCAACGUUUCUGUUGCUGUUUCAGCGAACGGAGAAUCAUGGCUCUGACCAAUUGGACAGCUCCGACGUAAACAUUUCGAGCAAGAAGUUAUGUCGACAGGUAAGCGAGCACGAUGAACGGCCGCUUAAUUAGAGGAAGAUUAGAUUAGUUACGAGUUACGAGAGUAAUAGAUCUAACGUACGUGGUUGUGUCCGCGCGGUUAAGUGUCAAGUGUCUCCUUACGUGUACUUACUAGGAAGGUCUUUAUACAUAUGCUUACGUUUAUACAUGCGUACCUGUGUAUGUACAGAAUAUAUAUAUAUCGUUCAAGAUACACGCGUCUUCGACUAGGUAAGACGAGUGAACUCGUCCCCGAGAAGGAUUGGCUGCAGAGGGAAGUUCGUACUUUUGUUAAAAUAUCGUUUUCGUUAAGGCUUCUCUGGAAAUCUCGUUUUCGACUCGAAGUUCAACAUUUUUAGGAGGGUUGGAUCAGUUUAUCGAGAUAGAGAGGAUGUUAGGGUGUAUAUUUAGGGUCAUUAAAACACUAAAGGGACUCAAACGCUGGUAGUGGAGAAAUGAGUCAACCAAAUAGCGCUUGUCCGCAAGGUUGAUGCGCAGGAGACUAUUUGGUACACGACUGCUACACGAUACAAAUCGUAAGACGUGUGCACUUUUGUCAAGUGCGAAACCUUCUUUGCACACGUACUUCCACAACUACUUGACUAAAUAACACGUUUGUCAACAUAAUAAAAAAAUAGAACUACCGAAUUUCUGCCACGUUUUUGCAUCUGUGAUUCACAUCGUGCAGCAAUUGAGGGCAAACUGGUGUCCGACCCAUGUAUUCGAAAUUAGGUGUCGCUGGCUCCACGCUGAUGGGAUGGGAAAAAAGCUUUUUAAUUAUUUGGAGAAUUGGGGAACAGGUUCGUUUCGAACGUUAAUAAUGCCGCGAAGUUGGGACGAACGUGGAAUGGUCUCGGUGGCUGGUCAGUUAGAGCACUUUAAUUGUCCGUGGGGCUUCCUAGCGAAUGGGCGCAAUUCCUGGUAACGAACUCUGAUCGCAACCAGUGAUGCCACUUCUGCGAAUAUUUGCAUUUGCUUCGAAUCGUUUUCCCUUCGUCGACCGAUUUAAUUGGGAAUCAACAGCUUGUCCAACUGAGUUCCAAUCGAAAGACACUAUGAAGGCAGUCUGACAAUUUCAGAUUUAAAAAAAAAAAACGGUUUUUAGGGAUAUUUUCAUAAAAAUUUUAGGAUUUAAGGAAUUGUUCUGAAAAGAUUGGAGAAAUUCGAAGAAUUGGGAAUGAUACAGGAUUUCAAAUUGAAAUUUCUUUGUCAGUGUUGGGUAAGCACUAAGUGGACCAACCUUUAGAGAGGGAUGUUCCUACUAAUUUUCUUUUUUGACACAGCUAUUUCUUUUUAUUAAAAGAAAUUAUCGACCUCAAGGUACCAGACUGCCAUCUUUAUAAGUAACAACCUCAAAAUACAAUUAGAGGACUCGUUUCCAGCUGUAUUAACUUUCGAGUCACCCCAGUUAAAAGUCAAUUGCCAAUUGAACGAAUCUAAUUGUCUCAAAUUUAUAAAAAAAAAAUGACGAUCGCACACGAAUUAUUAUUUGUUUUUAAUAAAAAUACAUUGGAAUCGAUUCGAUAAUUGUCCCUGGAUGUAGCUGGAGAAGCUCAAGUCGUGAAACGAAAUUUCCAGACAGGUUUCCGAGCUUUUUAAGCCCGCCUUCUCUCUCCGUCUUUCUCAUACCGCGAAAAUUACAAUCUACGCGUACCAAUAUAUUUGGCGUGUGUAUAAGAAUGUGUUAGUAGUACGUGUACGCUAUGAGUAUUUCCGGAAGUUCAAUUAUAUCGACUGUACACGCGAGACUAGUAUAAUAAAGCAGCCUUAUCGUGCACCUGGAUGCGGCGUUCCAUUUGUUUUCUCCUGCUGAUCGCGGAAAACGGAAAUUGCACGUGUUUUCGUUAAUAUUCUUCGAUGUGAUAACCGAUCGUUGUAGUCGGUCGUUGUAUCAGCACAAUAAUAACCUCCGCUAAUAAAUGCAGUAACGAAAUUUAUAUUACCUUACCAUCAGUGAUAAUAAUAAUAAUAACGUGAAUAAUAAUAAUAAGAUGAAGAUAAUUAGAUUGUGGAUAUUAUGCAUUUAUAGUGUACGUUAACACUGUAACCCAAAUUACGGCUUACGAAAAAAUGAUAUAAUAGAGCCCAUUCAGAAAUUCUAAUUAUGGAAUUAUUAUCAUACGCAAAUUUAACCUCUUGAAGGACGAAUUUUAAACGGACCUUUUUUCGUCUUAGUGGAAUACGAAGUUUUUCAAAGAAUAAUUUGUAGAAAUUCAAAUUUCUAGUGAUUUGUCCAAUUGUUUAUGAGUGCGUGACUUCACAAUCACGUGCGGAUACAGAUGAUUAAUACAGAGAAACUAUGCAAACCACGCGUAGAAUAUAUAAUACACAAGUCAAUAUAAUAAUAUUAAUAUUUCACACAUUUUGCACAUGUGUAUAUAUUCUACUCAAGUUUAGCCUACGUUUCUCGUACCUUUAUACUCUAUAAAUGAACAAGAUCCACAGACCUAUUAACGAUGGUGUCGCGAGGCACCAAGGUGAACCGAUAUAAGGAUAAAUAAAGUACACAACGUGUUAAUAAUAAUAAUAAUAAUAAUAAAUAUAAUAAAUACCGAUGACAGUAAUAAAUUACGAUGAUGCUGCAACCAUUAUUAAUGAUAAUAAUAAUAAUACUGACAACAAUUCGCAAAUAAAGGAAAUUAAAUACUGUACAAGGUUGUAAAAUUUUAAGAACAAUGAAUCCGUAGCUAAGAACCGAGACAGAGCGGUCGGUGGUAGUGGUGUUCUCAAAAACGAAGUGAACGAACCGGUAGGGGGUGGCGUAGUCGAUCGAUCCGCAGACGAAAAGCAUCCAGGGGUCGCUUCGAUUCGCCACCCACCCUCGAUUCGUGAUCAUAGGCCGUUUACCAGUGUUGAAGCAUGCUUACGAUUACCCAGCUAUCGAUAAUCGUGAUUAAUCGAUAAUCAUGAUCGCCCAAUCGACAAAUAAUGGAAAACGAUUCACUCUGAAAUAGUACAAUUCACCACUGUAUGAUUUUCAUGAUAAAAAUGUAUUAAUUUACGCCAUCCAAAGUCCAUACCGAUCAAUCGGACAAUCGUGACUGAUUAAUGCAAAAGUAAUCGCUGCCCAACACUGCCGUAUAGUAAAUUAACAGACACGCGUCAAACGGUGCACUUCGUUUGUUUGUUUCUACGUUGUUUUACCUUCUUGUUCGUUAUUUUUAUUUUUCGUUCUACUCCCCUAUCAACGUUUCUUGUUCUCUUUCGCACGCACACUCUCUCUCUUUCUCUUUCUACCCAUGCCGACUAACUAAUUUAUUCGUUAAUCAAUUAAUGAAUUAAUUAAUAUUGCUUAGGGUUUUAUUGCUCUACGUACGUACGCGACAGUGCUAUCGCACACAACGCGAAGAAAACUCGUGAAACAAACGUCACCAAUGACAGGACCGGGAUAAGCCGUUUUGGGAUCGUUUCGCUCACCGCGGUCCAAUCGCGCGGGACUUGCGCAAGGAUCCUGCGCGCGUUCGGUUAUUUUUUUCUCGUUUUCUUGCACACUUCUUCUCCUUUCUUUUUUUUUUUUUGUUCUUUUCUUUAUAUAUAUGUCUGUUAUUUUGGCGGUGAGGUCGGCUACUCUGUACAUGCAACACGGUAAUUAUUUGUCGGCAAUAAUUAUUAUAAAAGGACUUGUCGGAUCGUCGCGUCCAGCUCUCCGCAAAAUGACGACCAAUCCGUGCUCUUUCUCUGGCCUUGUUCUCGAUUCGCGACUCGUUGCAGCCACUUUUUUUUUCUUUCUUUCUUUUAUUAGCCUAAUACAGCGUUUCCCAAACUCUUAUAAUCGUGGUAAUUUUUUAUUUGAACAAUAUAUUUAUGGUAUGGUUACCUGCUGUUGUGGUUUGUUGGGGUUCGACCGAGAUUUGAUUCUUGUGACAACAUUGGGGGGCUGCACUUUACUUGUUUGCACUUUCGUGUUUUUUUUCUUUGUGUUUAUUUUGUAAACAGCUUGUAUGCAUAGGUUGCAAAAUGGAGUAAAUAAAAUAAAAACUUGCAAAUAGGUUUGAAAAACGCUGCUCUAAUGCAUGAUUUCCAAAUAUUCGUAAUAACCUAAUCGUUGCUUUUUGAAUUGGUCGAACAGAGGUCGUGUUCUUGAGCGGGAUUUUGGUGUCUCUUACACGUCGUUGUCUGGAAAUAUAUUUUCGUUGGUUAUCGUGCCCUUCGACGGACCAAUUUUGUACUAACAUUAUGGCACAAUCACGAAGAUCGAAUUUUAACCCACUCGGUGCUGUAGACGUUUAUAAUGUUUCCAGUGUUUCGAAAAACCAUCCUAAAUUCGUAGUAGAUGAAAUGUAUUAGAUAGCUCCAACCGAGUAUUCAGAAUAUUUUAUUUUCUAUUCGAACAUGGACUAGAAAAUCAUUGGUGUCUCAGCGAACGUCUUAACACCGAAAGAGUUAAACACGACUCAGUUUCACUAAAAAAUUCACAACCAAAAAUGUGGCGUGUUCUACUUGGUUCCAAAGUCUUAUUCGUUAGAAAAAAUAUAUUUGAAAAUAGGAGCGCCACUGGGUUACUACAGAGCGAGUAAUAUGCUUAUGCGAUUAAAUUUUGCACUAUUUGAUACGAAUUCUGAACUUCUUCGCUAUAACAUAUAACCACAUUCACUUAAAGCAUUUUCAAGUAUUGUCUAACUAAGAUUCGUUGUAUAAUUCUCCAAAGAUUAGGCAAACGAGUAUUGUAAACGUUGAAGCGACAAGAAAGAUUAAUUUAUCUCUUGGUUGAGCUCCGACUAGAAUCAUCGCGAAGCAUCAUCAAUUAACACAUACUUAUGGCUUCCUUUUGCUUCUAAAUCUUCACUUUUAAUAUUCUAUAUCAACAUCCACAAUUUACAUUCUAUGCAAGUAAACGUAAACGUUAAACGAUCGGCUCUAAACGUUUAUAAAGAAGUGAAAGUCAACGAAGUCGACGAAACGCUGCUAGCGCCAUUUUGGAGCACGGAUCACGACAAAAUGGAAGAGCGUGGUGGCGUGACGAUCGAGAAAGUUCGAUGCCGAAGCGAAUCAUCGUUAUCCAUCACGUUAAACUUCGAUGUUCGCCUCUAAAUGUAUACUUAUAUAAUUCGUUGUGUCGAAAUAUUGCUUUUGACCGUACGGCGUCGUCAUUAUUACUUUUUUUUUUAUGUUAAUUAUUCCCUUACUCGUUAUAUUGCUUCUAUAAAAUAUGUGUAUAACAAUGUUACGCAUUCAUUAAUCGAAUCUGCUCUAAAUAUACGUGUACGCGCGCGUGUAUGUGUGUAUGACUGUUCGUCCUACGUGUCGGUUUCUGUUCGUGUGUGGGUGGUACGUGUACGCGUCUUGAAUUUUCCUUUUUGCAUUGGAGCUCUCAUGCGACCAACCGUGUAACGCCACUGGAGAAGAAAAAAGAAAAUAAAUGGAGGAAAAGGAAAAUUCUUGUUGAUGAGCUAUAUGGGUAUGAGUCAGGGAUGACCCAUGAAACAGAAAGAUGAUAUUUUCUGUUUGAAAUAUUGUCUUGGUGAAAAUUAUGAAGCUUUGGUAAAUAUUCGUAAUGGGUACAAUGUGGAUUACAAUGUGAAUUUUACUGAGAAGAGGGUGGCCAGAGGAGCCAUCUUGAUUUCAUAUGGCUUCUUGACUUAGAUUUUUCUCAAGGAAAAUUUAAUUUAAGGUGUCAUGAUUAUCAAUCAACAUAAAAUCAUCUAAAGAGUGAUUUAUAUAUCAACAGAGCUUCCCAAUAAUUUUCAGUAAAAAUAAGAAAAACAAUACCCAAUAAAAAUGAGUACCUCUUUAUAAGAAACUCCCCACUUGCACCACCAUCCACGAUCCCCACUCCUUUCAGACUGAUAUCUUGAAUUUCACAGACCCUCAUUUAGAAUGGCAAGAUUCAGACCACACCUUUCAUAACUCCUACCUUCACCUGGCUAUCAACUUAGAGGUCAACGCCUCCAGAACUCUCGCUCACCCAUCAUACUUUCCUAAAUGAUAAAACUCUCAAAAACCAGAAGACCAAGAUGGCGUUACACGCGUAAGCAGCAUGCAGUCUCACCAAAAGGACGCACAGACCUGGACCGAGGGCUCCGAUCGAUGGGGACGUCGAUCGUCCGCGAAUCGACCCCUGGUCGAGUAUAAUUUGGCUCGACUUGGAGCCAUCGAAGAGGAACAUGCAAGGGGGUCGUCGUGUCUCCUUCAAGAGACAGCUGUUCGAAGGCGUUUGGGAAGAGGGACGAAGCCCACUGGUCAGGAUUGCGCGUCCCAGCCUGGAAGAUCGAUCUCUGGACGGGAUUCGAUUCCCCCAAGUAAACUUUAGGCGGACUGUAAUCCACGAUUACGAUGCAAGUGAUCAGUGAUCGGGAUUAACGAUCGAUAAUGGGUAACCAUGAGUAAUUAAUGAAUACUCAGACAGGAUCGCUUCUGAAGAGGUGUAUCGAUCGCUGAUCGAACCGAUGACCGUGUGUGACGAUUACAAAAGUAAUCGUUGUCCUUGGAUGAGACAGAAUCGAAAACCGACUGGAGAUCACGUCCCCUAGCACGUCGUUAUUGUACCUCGAGUCCGUCAUCGCGGUGAAUAUCCCCCAUUGCUCUCUUUCAUCCAUGGAGAGUUAAUAUUAGUUUACUUCUUUCGUUUAGGCAGCUAAGUAUUAAUAAAUAGUGUCUCCGUAACUAGCUCGCGACUAGAACCGUACGCGCUAGUAAAUAUACUAUAUAUAUAUAAUAAUAAUAUAAUAUAUAUAAUAUAAUAAUAUAAUAUCAUAAUGUAAUAGGUAUAAUCGACUAGAGUGACUAGACUGCAGUGUGGACGUCACCGUUCGACGUGUUCCUUAUUUUUUUUUUUGUUCUCGUUACACUCUCGUUUUGCGUAUUUUGUUCAUCAUCUUCGUCGUCAAUUUUUUUUUUAAUCUUUUGUAAGACUUAAACAUUACUGGACGUUUUUAUUAAUGUUAGACAUUAUUUAAGAAACCGAUACCUCCUCCUCUCUCUCUCUCUCUCUCUCUCUCUCUCUCUCUCUCUCUCUCUUCUCAUCGUCGUUCCUCGUCUACCAUUUGUCUUAUCUUACCGGUUAA